Molecule: ribosomal RNA, 433 nt
Filed under: uncultured bacterium
Lineage: Bacteria
Description: partial 16S ribosomal RNA
Rfam family: Bacterial small subunit ribosomal RNA
Source: RNAcentral
AACGAACGCUGGCGGCAUGCCUAACACAUGCAAGUCGAACGAGACCUUCGGGUCUAGUGGCGCACGGGUGCGUAACGCGUGGGAACCUGCCCUUAGGUUCGGAAUAACUCCCCGAAAGGGGUGCUAAUACCGGAUAAUGUCUUCGGACCAAAGAUUUAUGGCCUUUGGAUGGGCCCGCGUUGGAUUAGCUAGUUGGUAGGGUAAAAGCCUACCAAGGCGACGAUUCAUAGCUGGUCUGAGAGGAUGAUCAGCCACACUGGGACUGAGACACGGCCCAGACUCCUACGGGAGGCAGCAGUGGGGAAUAUUGGACAAUGGGCGAAAGCCUGAUCCAGCAAUGCCGCGUGAGUGAUGAAGGCCUUAGGGUUGUAAAGCUCUUUUACCCGGGAUGAUAAUGACAGUACCGGGAGAAUAAGCUCCGGCUAACUCCGUG